RNAcentral lists this ribosomal RNA (253 nucleotides) under uncultured bacterium. Its description in RNAcentral is "partial 16S ribosomal RNA". It matches the Rfam family "Bacterial small subunit ribosomal RNA", at positions 524 to 776 of the family's 1533-position model. The record is from RNAcentral.
CACGGGGGGAGCAAGCGUUGUUCGGAAUCACUGGGCGUAAAGGGCGUGCAGGCGGUCAGGUAAGUGGGAUGUGAAAUGCCCCGGCUCACCCGGGGACCGGCAUCUCAUACUGCUUGGCUUGAGUACGGGAGAGGAUGUGGGAAUUCCUGGUGUAGCGGUGAAAUGCGUAGAUAUCAGGAGGAACACCGGUGGCGAAGGCGCACAUCUGGCCCGAUACUGACGCUGAGGCGCGAAAGCUAGGGGAGCAAACGGG